Long non-coding RNA from Mustela erminea (ermine), 1786 nucleotides. RefSeq lists it as uncharacterized. Lineage: Eukaryota; Metazoa; Chordata; Mammalia; Carnivora; Mustelidae. The transcript is spliced from 3 exons. The record is from RefSeq and is a predicted model, not a curated record.
GAUUCAGCGAAACAACCUCAAAACCAGUCUCCAAUGAGAGGCAGGAAGAACCAAACCCUCAAACAUCAGUGAUCCUGUGAGGUUUGGAACCUUGUGGAACUUUCCUUAAAAUAACUGCAUCAGGAGAUUGUCCAGUUGGGGGUAGAAGAAGAGGAAGACCUGAAAGCAGAGUCUUGGGGCUCCUGAAGGAUUCAGAUGUGGAAACCGAGGCAUGGCCGGGUUGCAAACCCAGUCUGUCUGCAUACUGUUAGUCAUGUGCUACUGCCUCAGGGAUCUAGUUCCUCAAGAGGAUAGCUGGAGUCACCAGUGGCUGGGAGACUGAGAGGUCCCCAAGAGGCUACUGGAAGAUUCUGUCCCAGGUGGAACCUGUUACUUGCCCAGGUGAGGAAAGCCCAGGGUCUGAAACAGAGGGGAAGGAAGCAAAUGCACCUGAAAGUGGGAAAAAGAACAAGGCAUAGGAAAGGAGGUUCAAGCAGUAGGAGCAGAAUCUGAAGGAAGGAGACAGUCACUGCUGAGGGUCUGAUUAUUGAUGCCUCUAAAAUUUGGUGUAUAAGAGCCGGUUCUUGAUCAGCUUUCCUGGUGCAUUGACAGAGACAAAGAUCAAGUUCGGAAAUGGAAUCUGUCCUUAAGCACUCACAGCUCCCCAGGUGGGACCCACAGCAGAUGAUGCUCAUUUCCCAGGGGGUUAGCACUACUUCCCAGAGCUUCCAUUACACCCUCAGUUAAGAGCCAGGCCAAGGCAGUGCUGAGAAAGCAAGUCUGGGAGAGAAGUACCUCAUCGCCCCACCGUUGCUGGAGACAGAGGAAUGGGCAACCUGCUCUCAAAUGAUAGGAAAUGAACAGAACCACAGCUGAAGGCAGCUUGGUGCCUGAAAGAACUUUGAGCUGGAGUGCAGGAGGACCUGGUUCAAGCCCUGGUCCCAGUUCUGGCUUCACAUGACCUUGUACUCACUCCUGACCUUGAGGAAGUCAUGUCUUAUCUCUGGGCCCUGGUUUACCCCACUGUGGAAUUAGAGGCAUGACAAAGAUAACAUCUGUUUCUUCUGUUUCUUUCACUUAAAAACUCAAUGAAAUGUUUACAUCACGAUUGGAGAGUCCAGUGAGACUGAAGGUGGCCACCCCGGAAGGCCCAGGUUCACCUGCUGCGUAAACACUGAAUGGAGAUCGGUCAUGGUAGAGCAAUGGCAGGAAUUCCAGCCUUGGGAACAACUCCUGGCACAUAGUGGACCCUCAGCAAUAACCUGCUGAAUGGAUGUGAUAUUCCAAAAACUCUGCAAAGUCCUUAUUAUCCUCUUCUUUUAUGGAUAAGGAAGCUGAUGCUCCAAGAAGUGGAAUCACUCUCAAGCUCCCACAGUGAAUGAGAGCCAAGAUUUUAAUCUUUGCUGCUCAUAAGGUCAUGCAGAGUAUGUCAUAUAGCCAGCCUCAUCCUUAUGCAAUGCUGUUUUAUAAAGUUAUCUGGUUUUGUCCUGGGUUCCCUUCUCAGCCUCCCUGGGGCUCUCCACACUUUUGUCCUGCCACUGAGAAUCAAAUGUCUUGAUCUUUUUCCCCAAGUGCCCAGUCCAUGUCUUUCAGAUAUGCUUUAAUUAAUCCUUCCUCAAACAAUGAUCAGUCCUUUGUACCCUUCAUUCAGAGGUCACUCUAGCUAUGUGUCUAUGAGUAAUAAUAGAUACCAGCUGAAUGAUGCAUCAACUGGGUUAUGCUCCUAGAUUACAGAAUUAAAUACACUUAUACUAAGAUAUAAGCUUUAUGAAUGCAAUUCUUUUUAAAGAUUUUUUAUUUUUAAGUA